UUUUUUAAUUUAUUUUUUAUUUUUGUUUCCCCAAACAUACUUUAUCUACUGUAAAGCAUGGGGACCCAGUUACACAUACAUAUAUACAUAAUUUUAUCUCCCAUUGUUGUGCUGUGUUGUAAGUAUCUAGACAUAGUUCUCAGUGCUACACAGCAGGAUCUCAUUGUUAUUCCAUUGAUUUGACAUUUUCAUACAUUAUUUAUCAUUAAUCUAGUAACUAUAUUUCCCCAUAAGCCUUUACAAUAUAAUCAAUCAUGUUCUUUAUGCUGUAUAUUAAAUUGCCAAGGUUUCUUUAUUUUAUAACUGGGUUUUUUCUCCUCUUCAUACACAUCACCUAUUUCAUCCCUCUCCCCCAGACACUGCCUCCUCUGGCAACCACCAGUUUCUUCUCUCUAUUUAUGAGUCUGUUUUCCUUUUCUUGAUUUUUUGUUUUGAUUUUUAGAUUCCAGAUACAAGUGAGAAACCACAAUAUUUAUUGUUGUAUCUCUGCCUCAUUUCACAGAGCAUAAUACCCUCUAGAUCCAACCAUGUUGUUGGAACAUGCUGUGAACUGUGAGAUGCACUUGAAUAGCUCCCUUAUAUCCAUGUUGUUGCCAAUGAAGGUAGUAAACAUUUUUAGCCCCCAGGAUGGGGUGGCACAGUUGUUUUCACUGUUGGGGAUUCAUUUUCAUGGUUUUGUGUGAGGAUAUCCAGUUUCCCAGCAGCAUAUAUUGAGGAGACUAAACCUUCUCUACUGUGUGUUUUUGGCUCCCUUGUCAAAGAUCAGUUGAGCAUAUAUGUGUGGGUUUAUUUAUGGGCUACAUAUUCUGUUCCAUUUUUAUAUGUGUAUUUUAAUGUCAUUUACUGUGUUGAUUUCUAAAGGUUUGAAGUAUAGUUGGAAAAGGAAGUGUGAUGCCUACAGUUUUGUACAUUUUGCUUAAGAUGACUUUCAUUUUGUGUUUCUUUUCAGUUUCACAUGGAUGAAAUAAAUUAUAGUGAUGGAUGUAUGCUCCAACCUAUUUCAGGGUUAGUGUUGUGGGAACUCAAGGGCUGGUCCUACUCUGUUUGGUCCUUUCUGCAGUGCAUAGAAUGGCAGAUUCCAUUGUAGUUUCUUUAAAGUUCAAGGGGGUUCAUGGCCUCUCCUUCUCUUGAGCAGGCAGAGGGAAGAGCAAUGUGUCACUGACAUUAGAGACAUCUUCUGGGACUCCUGUAGUUCAGCCCCUUUGGUCUCAGCACUGGAUCCACUUCAAGAGGAGGGCAAGAAUUUGGGCAAUUACCUCAAUUUUCUUCUUGUCGAACAAGAAGUUUGGGGGUAUGUUCCCUGGGGUCUCAGUCUGUUGGUAAAUGUGGAUCAUUCUCGUUGUUCUCAUUCUUGUAAACACGUGUGGAAGUGCUAAUUGUCCUCAGACCAUGGAGGCAUAAGAGAUAAGUCCUCAGGUAGUAGCCUGGACCGGGAUGGAUUGGACCAUCACUUGGACUAGAUGUGUAUGAUGAUGUGAGGACUAGGAAGAAGAGAUAGAGAAAAUAUAUGUUUACAUUGCUUGUAUAGCCAUGUGUUUUAAGUGUCUGAUUCACACACUGACCUACAUUGUGCCACCAGAGUCACAUGGCUGUAACAUUGAAAUUACUCAAAAUGACAUAAAAUUAAAAUUUGGGUUUCUCAGUUGCACUAGCUAUAUUUCAAGGCUCCAGUAGUCACAGGAGACUGGUGCUGCUGUAUUGGGAAACACAGCUAUAUAGUAUUUCCAUAUUUGUGGAAAGUCCAAUUGUACAGUGCUAAUAAUAGACCAUGAAAGCCAGAAAUCUGCAAUACAUGUAUGUGUUUUGGGUUGCACAUGUUGCUUCUUUUUAUGUAUUUGUGCAUUGGGUUUGAACACGUGAUUCUUAGAGUGUUUAGUUGAGUUUUUGUGUGCAUGAGUGUGUAUGCUUUGUGAGUUUUGUGGGUGACCGGAUGUGGUUUUUACAUGUUUUUUUUAAACAGCUUGUGAAAUAUACCUGAUAUGCAAAAAACUGCACAUAUUUAAUGUAUGUAAUUUGAAGAGUUUGUACAUGAGCACACACUAUUGUAGCUACCACCACAAUCAAGGUCAUCAACAUAUCUGUCUCCUGUCAAAAUGUCUUGUGUCCCUUUUAUGUCAUAAUAAAUCUUAACAUGAGAUCUACUCUUUUAAUGAAUUUUUAGGUGCACAGAAUAGUGUUUUUGACUCUAGGCAUUAUGCUCUAUAGUAGGUCUCUAGAACUAAUUCAUCUUACAUAACUGAAAUUUUAUUUCAAUUAAAUAACAACACUACCAUUACCCUUCCCCAUAGCCCUUGGUUACUGCCAUUUAUUCUCUGCUUAUGUGAGUUUCUCUAUGGGAAAUUGUGCUGUAUUAACCUUUGUAGGACGCACUUAUUUCACUUAUCAUAAUGUUCUCCUGGUUCAUCCACAUUGUCAGAAAUAGCAGGAUUUCCACUUUUUAAGGCAAAAUAAUAUUCCAUUUUUUGUAUAUUCCACACACAUAUCCAUUCAUCUUGGCACCAUUUGGCUUCCCCACCAACAGUAUAGAAGGGUUCUUGUUUGCAUGGUUUUUAAGUGGUGUAAGACAAAAGAUUUCAUUUUAAAGUUGUAUGUAAGUUGGUAUGUAUCCAUACUAACCUCCACACUUCUGACUAGGAUGAGUAUAGUUUGGAGAGGGAUAAACUACACCACCUGGGGUUUUGUUUUUUUUGUUGCUAUGUGUCAUACUGAGUGUCUGUGUGUAUAACACACUGACAAUCUCCUACUCAUCUCCUUAGAUGGCUGUAGAGCAGAGAGGGCCUCUUGGGUGCCUGGGAAAUAUGUGUAUGCAUUUGACCUGGUAAGACAGCCUCACAGCCUGAAUCUUCCUUCGUCUCAGCUCUAGACAUAAAAAGACAACAAGCAAAGUUCUCUUUAUUCUAAGUUGGUGUCACUUUGUCCAGAUGCUUUGAAGGCUACUGAACUUCUUGCAGUGUUCUUCAUUGAUGUUUAAUGAUUUCCACAUUUCCACUCUGGGGAACAAGAUGGGGUGAAUUUAGGAACCUUGUAUAGUUAAUCAGAUGACAGUGAAUUCUGAUAUAUGUCCUUGGUCCUACAGCAUCUUUACUAUCUUGGCUCUCUGGUCACCUCAUCAGGCAAAUUCUUAUGUACCUCUUAUGUACUUUGCCUAUAUGUUUAGAACUGAGCCAUUUGAAGGCCCUUGUGAUGGAAGGGGAGAGAGAGACAAUGGCAGAUAUGAAGGGAGCUCUUCAUUGGCACAUUUAUUAAAAAUGCAAUGAGUCAAGUGAUGUGGACCUACUACUCUUCAGGGGCUUUGGUCUGCACCUGUACUGUCUCCUGGAAGUGAGAACAAGACCUCAGAAGUAAGCACAUAUUUUCAGAAAGCUACUUGAUCGUUUUUGAUGGAGUCCUCAUAUCUUUAUCAUCUUUAGUUACUGUUGUCUGAGUACUCAUCCUGCCCAAAUAAUGAGCUAUUUAUUUAUUUUUGUUUUACUCUUUUUUAGAUUGCUGUUUUUAGUCAAUGAUUUAUUGACUCAAAAUAUAUUUUCUGAAUUAAUAUUUUGUUUUUAUAAAAGAUAUAUAUAUAUAUUAUAAUUCAAUAUUUCAAUAUCUGUGUAUGGUUUCAUGGCACCAAAGUAGUUUACAUUGAAGUGCAACCAUCACCAUGUCCUACUUCUAGAAUUUUUUAUCUUCUCAAAAGGAACCUCUGUAACCACUGAACAAUAACUCAUCAUUUUAUCCCCACCCUAGCCCUUGACAAUCACCAUUCCAUUUUUUUGUGUCUAUUAAUUUGACUAUUCUAGGAAUAUCAUAUAAGUGGAAUCUUACAGUAUUUAUAAUUUUGUGACUGCAUGAUUUCACUUAGCAUAAGGUCUUCAAGGUUCAUUCAUUUUGUGGCUGUGUCAUUAUUUCAUUCCUUUUUACAGCUGUACAAUAUUAUACUUUAUGUACAAGACCAGAUUUUAUUUAUCUAUUCACUUGUUAAAGGACUUUUUUUUUUACCAUAUUUUGGUUAUUGUGAGUAAUGCUGUUUUGAACAAGGCUGUAUAAAUAACACUUUUG
Molecule: long non-coding RNA, 4041 nt
Filed under: Sus scrofa (pig)
Lineage: Eukaryota; Metazoa; Chordata; Mammalia; Artiodactyla; Suidae
Description: lncRNA (ENSSSCG00000043235.1)
Source: RNAcentral